AAAAGAAAUAAGAAAAGAAAAUAAAUCUUUGCAACCUUUACCUGCUACUGCGUUCCGUUUUUCUCUUGGAAUUUGGUAAUCGAAACAACCCUAACUCAAAUUUCUAAAGAGGAUAGAAGUGCUCAGUAAAUUUUGCUGGAUUGGUCCCAAUUGUCAGCCGUACUUCUUGUGUUAUUGUCUUCUGUCACCUAAAUUCAGGGGUUGGCCUAGUCUGGUUAGUGAAUUGGUACAUGGAUCAAAAACAUGGACAGGAGUCCCAGCAAAGGCCCUAGACCAAUAGAGUUGGUUGUAGAAAUCCGUCAGGUUGGGAAGUAGGUGAAUUGAAGCUAACAUUUUUAUAAAAGUUUUGAUACCCAAAAAGCAAAUCCGACCAUGGCUAGUAAACAAACCGAGCCGACUUUGUCAACAUCAUCUGUUGCUGCUUGUCGUAGUAAAGAUAAUCGGCUAUUAGCUGGUUAUUUGGCUCACGAGUUUCUAACUGAAGGAACUUUGUUCGGGCAGACGUGGGACCCUGCAAGAGCUGAAGCCAAUCCCAUAACUCCACGCAACAACCCAAAAGUUAGAAGACCAGCAGGGGGAGGAGUCGUGGCUGAAGUAAAAGGAGGAGGCGGGACAAUAAUGGCACAACCGCAACAGCAGCAUAGUAGUUACGCUGACGUUGCGAAUCUGUUGAAAUGUGAAGGGUUGCACAUAGACGGGAUUGUGAACCCAACCCAACUUGCAAGGUGGUUACAGAUGUGAAUCUCUGACUGUUUCAAAAGAUGAAAGAAGGUGGAAAACAAGAGUCAUGUUCUACUGAAAAAACAAAGGUAUGCCAAGAGUUGGGUUCAUUCAAUCUCUAUCUCUGUUUGCUGGAGUCGAAGCCUGUUCAAAGGAGUUGGUGAAGAAUUCAAAUUGCAGAAACAAGUGACGAAAGCCUGUUUGAGGAGUGGAGUUCAGUCAAUCUCUAUCUCUGCCUGUUAUUUUUUUUGUUUGUUGUAGGAGGUGUUUUUUCUCUCUCUCUAACGGUAUAUUGAGAUUGCGAAACUUUAUUGGUGGGCAGGAUGGUUUUUACUCUGUUUAACCAUUUUUCAUUUUAUUCUCCUUCUUCAAUAUCCUUCUUCCAAAUUAGAAAAUACUCUUUAAGUUUAA
This is a long non-coding RNA of Papaver somniferum (opium poppy), 1131 nucleotides long. RefSeq lists it as uncharacterized. The transcript has 3 exons. NCBI's taxonomy places the organism in Eukaryota, Viridiplantae, Streptophyta, Magnoliopsida, Ranunculales, Papaveraceae. The record is from RefSeq and is a predicted model, not a curated record.